Molecule: ribosomal RNA, 506 nt
Filed under: uncultured bacterium
Lineage: Bacteria
Description: partial 16S ribosomal RNA
Rfam family: Bacterial small subunit ribosomal RNA
Source: RNAcentral
AUUGAACGCUGGCGGCAGGCCUAACACAUGCAAGUCGAACGGUAACAGGAAGCAGCUUGCUGCUUCGCUGAUGAGUGGCGGACGGGUGAGUAAUGUCUGGGAAACUGCCUGAUGGAGGGGGAUAACUACUGGAAACGGUAGCUAAUACCGCAUAACGUCGCAAGACCAAAGAGGGGGACCUUCGGGCCUCUUGCCAUCGGAUGUGCCCAGAUGGGAUUAGCUAGUAGGUGGGGUAACGGCUCACCUAGGCGACGAUCCCUAGCUGGUCUGAGAGGAUGACCAGCCACACUGGAACUGAGACACGGUCCAGACUCCUACGGGAGGCAGCAGUGGGGAAUAUUGCACAAUGGGCGCAAGCCUGAUGCAGCCAUGCCGCGUGUAUGAAGAAGGCCUUCGGGUUGUAAAGUACUUUCAGCGGGGAGGAAGGCGAUAAGGUUAAUAACCUUGUCGAUUGACGUUACCCGCAGAAGAAGCACCGGCUAACUCCGUGCCAGCCGCCGCUGUAA